CGGCCGCGCCGCAGAAGGUGAAGGAGCAGCGCGAGGCACGCAGCCGCCGCACCGUGGCGCGCACGAGCUCAGCAGGCCGGCGACCCCAGCGCGCCCACAGGACAGUGGCAGCUGGAAAGUGGGUUCCUGCAUGGUAACAAGACCUUAAACUUGUGUCACUGGAGAAGGACGUGCAGUUCCCGCUGAGGAGAGACUUGGCCACUCCAAGACAACACAGGACUACAAGUCAGGAAUUUGAAAAUGAAAAGUGCUGAACAGUGAUAAAUCCUAAAUGUUUCACUGAACAACCUUUCAGAUAGCCUUCUUGAAGUUUGCUGCAUUAUGGCUAUAAGGACCACUCCCCACCCCUGCUAGAUGAAGUCUCACUUGCCCAGGUUGCAGUGAGCCGAGAUCGCACCACUGCACUCAAGCCUGGGUGACAGAAAAAGACUACAUCUU
RNAcentral lists this long non-coding RNA (438 nucleotides) under Pongo abelii (Sumatran orangutan). RNAcentral describes it as "lincRNA". Lineage: Eukaryota; Metazoa; Chordata; Mammalia; Primates; Hominidae. The record is from RNAcentral.